UCCCUUUUGGGAAGAGAGAGAAAAGCAAAAACAGAUCUAAAUCGAGAGAACCCGAUUCUUCCUCCCUAUUCCUCCUUUUUGUGCACAGUAACCGGAGAAAGCAUUUCCGGUGAGUUUGGCAUCGUUGAGCCACCUCAGGUUGUCCCACUAGUCGGGGAGUUUCCUCUCUUCCUCCUCUUUCAUCUUAGCUUGAUUUGGCCGAAGGAAGUGAGAUUGAUGAUGAACAUUGGUGAUGAACAGUAACCAUCAGAUUUUCUGAUUUUGGAGUGAAUUUCCGGCCAUUUCCGCUUGAAAUUGGUUGUUGUCACAGGACGUACUGAGCCCUGGAGCGUGGAGGUUACGAACAUGCAGCAGGAUUAGCUGCGAGAUUCACCUGUGAAUGGACUUUUAUUUUAUUUAAAUGAUGCAUGCAACAUGGCAUUAAAUUUAUAACUUGAUUAAUGUUUGGAUAAAUGUGGUUUUCGAGGAAGAAAUGAGUUGGCAAGGAGGCUCUAUUUCGGCGCAUGCGUACAUUACCUAGUCGGCAGUCCCCUCUAGUUAAUAGUCUGGUCGGCAGUCCCUCCCAGAUUAUAUCUCGGUUGGCAGUCCCUCCCAGACUAUAUCUCGGUUGGCAGUCCCCUCCGGUGAGUCAUCUGGUCGGCAAUCCCCUCCAGAUAAGGUGGUUAGUCAGCAGUCUCCUCUAACUACCUGUGGUUAGUCUGCAGUCCCCUCUAACUACCUGUGGUUAGUCUGCAGUCCCCUCUAACCAACGCCUCCUACAUUCUGGUUGGCAGUCACUUCCAAUGCGUCAUCUGGGCGGCAGUGCCCUCCAGAUGGCAUGAGAUGACUAGACAGCAGUCCUCUCUAGUCAUCGAACAAUGUUUCAUGAAAGGAUGGUUUCAAAGGAAUGAGUUGGAAUUGUUUAUAAAUCCAGCUGCAUGUCAGGUUUUUAUUAACGAGAAAAUAGGAAAGCAUUCAAGUAUUGGUUUUAUAACUUAUUUCAGUUUUGUUCACUCACUCUAAUGGUUUUUAAAUGUUUUUCCCUUGGGCCUUUCGGUUUCAAAUGCCCAGAUUUCAAAUUUGCUGAGAUCGCAUCCGGGAACUCGAGGCAUAGGAAUCAACGCUUCCGUUUUGUCCGUACUUAACCUACCUUGUAUGAUAUCGACUUAGUUAUGUAGAAUUGCUCUGAUAACCCUUUUAAUUUGGAGAAUGUUAUUUCCUGAGAAUUUGUUAUUGUCUUGAAAUUAAGAUCAAAUUCGUACUUUUGGAA
This is a long non-coding RNA of Rosa chinensis, 1249 nucleotides long. RefSeq lists it as uncharacterized. The transcript has 3 exons. NCBI's taxonomy places the organism in Eukaryota, Viridiplantae, Streptophyta, Magnoliopsida, Rosales, Rosaceae. The record is from RefSeq and is a predicted model, not a curated record.